AGAGUUUGAUCAUGGCUCAGAUUGAACGCUGGCGGCAGGCCUAACACAUGCAAGUCGAGCGGUAGCACAGGGGAGCUUGCUCCCUGGGUGACAAGCGGCGGACGGGUGAGUAAUGUCUGGGAAACUGCCUGAUGGAGGGGGAUAACUACUGGAAACGGUAGCUAAUACCGCAUAACGUCGCAAGACCAAAGAGGGGGACCUUCGGGCCUCUUGCCAUCAGAUGUGCCCAGAUGGGAUUAGCUAGUAGGUGGGGUAAUGGCUCACCUAGGCGACGAUCCCUAGCUGGUCUGAGAGGAUGAUCAGCCACACUGGAACUGAGACACGGUCCAGACUCCUACGGGAGGCAGCAGUGGGGAAUAUUGCACAAUGGGCGCAAGCCUGAUGCAGCCAUGCCGCGUGUAUGAAGAUGCCUUCGGGUUGUAAAGUACUUUCAGCGAGGAGGAAGGCAUUAAGGUUAAUAACCUUGGUGAUUGACGUUACUCGCAGAAGAAGCACCGGCUAACUCCGUGCCAGCAGCCGCGGUAAUACGGAGGUUGCAAGCGUUAAUCGGAAUUACUGGGCGUAAAGCGCACGCAGGCGGUCUGUCAAGUCGGAUGUGAAAUCCCCUGGCUCAACCUGGGAACUGCAUUCGAAACUGGCAGGCUAGAGUCUUGUAGAGGGGGGUGGAAUUCCUAGUGUAGCGGUGAAAUGCGUAGAGAUUAGGAAGAACACCAGUGGCGAAGGCGACUCUCUGGACUGUAACUGACGCUGAGGCUCGAA
Molecule: ribosomal RNA, 759 nt
Filed under: uncultured bacterium
Lineage: Bacteria
Description: bacterial SSU rRNA
Rfam family: Bacterial small subunit ribosomal RNA
Source: RNAcentral